GACGAACGCUGGCGGCGUGCUUAACACAUGCAAGUCGAACGGAAAGGCCCUGCUUUUGUGGGGUGCUCGAGUGGCGAACGGGUGAGUAACACGUGAGUAACCUGCCCUUGACUUUGGGAUAACUUCAGGAAACUGGGGCUAAUACCGGAUAGGAGCUCCUGCUGCAUGGUGGGGGUUGGAAAGUUUCGGCGGUUGGGGAUGGACUCGCGGCUUAUCAGCUUGUUGGUGGGGUAGUGGCUUACCAAGGCUUUGACGGGUAGCCGGCCUGAGAGGGUGACCGGCCACAUUGGGACUGAGAUACGGCCCAGACUCCUACGGGAGGCAGCAGUGGGGAAUAUUGCACAAUGGGCGGAAGCCUGAUGCAGCAACGCCGCGUGCGGGAUGACGGCCUUCGGGUUGUAAACCGCUUUCGCCUGUGACGAAGCGUGAGUGACGGUAAUGGGUAAAGAGGCACCGGCUAACUACG
Molecule: ribosomal RNA, 466 nt
Filed under: uncultured bacterium
Lineage: Bacteria
Description: partial 16S ribosomal RNA
Rfam family: Bacterial small subunit ribosomal RNA
Source: RNAcentral